CAGCAUUGAUGUUUUUGUUUUGGACCGGUUUUUCUUCUCCAGUUGCUUAAUGCUAAUUUCGUGCACAAAUCGACGCUCAUCUAAUAACUCGAUUCUUACCUCACGCUUCCAAAGUUCUACGGAUUUGUACUGGAACUUUGUGCUAGAACCAUAAAUCGGAUGUGGAAUGCCAAGGCGUCAACAGAGCUGCGUUUAGGCAUUGAACUUACUUAGGAUAACGACUUGUUAUACCGGUACACUUCUCAGGCCUAAAAGGCAGAGACACUUUGGUUGGAUGAUAACUAGGAGGACAUAUCCACAUUACGGCUGCACAGCGUGCUAAGGAAAAUUAUCACCGCUUCAUGACCUCUCUGUUAAAUUCGCGUCGAUAUUAACUAAACCGAUCCCGUUCACUGACCGCAUGCUUGCGCUUCUUCGGAACAAACUUUUGUUGGAAUUCAAUAGCAAAACAAUGUCCCCGUUUUUACUAAGAUUUGCGAUGGGAAGAGCAACAGAACACAUCAGUAACCUCCAGGUGAUGCAAAUACUGAAGUUUGAAUAUGCUGAUCUUUGGAACAAUCCGCUUCCAGAACUGCAUCUCGCCUAAAGUAUUGUUUGUGAAAAUUGCGAUUGCAAUUGGACAAACAAAUGCAAUCGCCAGGCAGUAGGUUGAAGUUUCGCUAUUCCAGUCAAGCACAAAACGUAAUACCUAAAUAAAGCCUUGAAUGAACCAUCAGAUUCAACGUAGGCGCUAUGAAAGGAGGAAUGAGGUCCCGUCUACGUCUGUCUGCGAGACUUACUUAAGGAAGUUUAUAAGUGAUCCUCCCCUAGGUUAUCAGACAUGCCCAGCUACAAAUAAAAAUCCCGCUCGUAGCGAAGCGCCGGGUUUGGAAAACCAACGUUAAGUAUCGGCAAUGAGUUUUGGGAACAGCGAGUCACCAACGAUAAAUAGGAGCUUGAUGACAUAUGUAAAGUCGGCCGAAGCUAAGUGGGCUCACCAGUAGGCAAGGAUUUGAGAACUAAGGGAACCUAUUGAUUUACUUUAAUAGUUGGUCUGUCGUGGUUGAUGCAAAAUUGGCUAUCUGACAAGGAGUUCGUCUUCAAAGUACCCUAAUUUAACAAAAUAGAUAUACAUUAUAGAAUAAACUUCAAGGACUCUUUGUGUAUCAACAAUAAAGGAACGACACUUCCAUAUAUUCAAGACGAAAGGAAGAUACAGAUAAGCAUGCGCUACUGCUUUCUCUUAUGCUUGUUGUUCAGUAAAGCUUGACUUCCAUCGCUAGGUUCGUUAGCGUUUGGAAAUAAUAGAAGGACCACAUUCC
Long non-coding RNA from Armigeres subalbatus, 1301 nucleotides. RefSeq lists it as uncharacterized. Lineage: Eukaryota; Metazoa; Arthropoda; Insecta; Diptera; Culicidae. The record is from RefSeq and is a predicted model, not a curated record. The transcript is spliced from 3 exons.